ACUCCUACGGGAGGCAGCAGUGGGGAAUAUUGCACAAUGGGGGAAGCCCUGAUGCAGCCAUGCCGCGUGUGUGAAGAAGGCCUUCGGGUUGUAAAGCACUUUCAGUAGGGAGGAAGGUAGUGUAGUUAACACCUGCACUAUUUGACGUUACCUACAGAAGAAGCACCGGCUAACUCCGUGCCAGCAGCCGCGGUAAUACGGAGGGUGCGAGCGUUAAUCGGAAUUACGUGGGCGUAAAGCGCAUGCAGGCGGCCUGUUAAGUCAGAUGUGAAAGCCCGGGGCUUAACCUCGGAAUUGCAUUUGAAACUGGCAGGCUAGAGUCUUGUAGAGGGGUUAGAAUUUCAGGUGUAGCGGUGAAAUGCGUAGAGAUCUGAAGGAAUACCAGUGGCGAAGGCGGCCCCUGGACAAAGACUGACGCUCAGAUGCGAAAGCGUGGGAGCAAACAGGAUUAGAUACCCCGUGGUAGCGACUGA
Molecule: ribosomal RNA, 473 nt
Filed under: uncultured bacterium
Lineage: Bacteria
Description: bacterial SSU rRNA
Rfam family: Bacterial small subunit ribosomal RNA
Source: RNAcentral